This 532-nucleotide long non-coding RNA is filed under the name Phascolarctos cinereus (koala). RNAcentral's name for it is "lncRNA (ENSPCIG00000000778.2)". Lineage: Eukaryota; Metazoa; Chordata; Mammalia; Diprotodontia; Phascolarctidae. The record is from RNAcentral.
CUCUGAGAUACCCUGAAGUCCAUCCUCUCUUGAAAGAAGAUCUCUUCUUCCAGUCUUCUCUUCUAGGAGACUAGAACCAUGAAGCUCUUCCUUGUAUCUUUCCUCAUGGCUUUCCUGGCUGUCCAGGCCCCAUAUUUUAGAAGAUUUGCUCCAAGGCCUCCGUAUCCUGGAAAUUUUGGAUAUUUUCCAAGGGUUCCAUAUCCUCAAUUUCCUGGAUAUCCUCCAUAUCCAUAUGCAUAUUAUCAGAAUCCUGAAAAUCCUCCAUAUUAUGCAUAUCCUACAAAUGCCGAAAAUGCACCCCAAGAAGAACCUCAAUAAACACAGCUUUGCCUGGAACACUGACUCGAGGUGUCUGUGAAUCUACAAAUUGGUCAAUCUGCCCAUCUGCCUAGUUAUCAGCCUCUAUUAUUGAGCAACAGAUAGUUGCUCCAACCUUGUUAGAGUAAUAUGAAUCAUUCUUCCAAAGGACUGAUGCUCUCAUUUACACUCCCCAUAUAAUAAAUUCAGUUCACAGCUUAUUGAAUUUCUGUUG